RNAcentral lists this ribosomal RNA (440 nucleotides) under uncultured bacterium. RNAcentral's name for it is "partial 16S ribosomal RNA". It matches the Rfam family "Bacterial small subunit ribosomal RNA", at positions 338 to 795 of the family's 1533-position model. The record is from RNAcentral.
CCUACGGGAGGCAGCAGUGGGGAAUAUUGCACAAUGGGGGAAACCCUGAUGCAGCGACGCCGCGUGAGUGAAGAAGUAUUUCGGUAUGUAAAGCUCUAUCAGCAGGGAAGAAAGUGACGGUACCUGUCUACGAAGCCCCGGAUAACUACGGGCCAGCAGCCGCGGUAAUACGUAGGGGGCAAGCGUUAUCCGGAUUUACUGGGUGUAAAGGGAGCGUAGACGGCAGCGCAAGUCUGAAGUGAAAUCCCAUGGCUUAACCAUGGAACUGCUUUGGAUACUGGGCAGCUGGAGUGCAGGAGAGGGAAGCAGAAUUCCUGGUGUAGCGGUGAAAUGCGUAGAUAUCAGGAGGAAUACCAGUGGCGAAGGCGGCCUCCUGGACUGUAACUGACGUUGAGGUUCGAAAGCGUGGGGAGCAAACAGGAUUAGAUACCCGUGUAGUC